This is a long non-coding RNA of Etheostoma spectabile (orangethroat darter), 71 nucleotides long. RefSeq lists it as uncharacterized. The transcript is spliced from 3 exons. The record is from RefSeq and is a predicted model, not a curated record. Lineage: Eukaryota; Metazoa; Chordata; Actinopteri; Perciformes; Percidae.
CGUUUUCUCCAAGGUAGUUAAUAUACAGCAUAUUGUGAUAUAAAUAUCAACACAUAAUGCUGUAAAAAAAA